GGAUGUGAGGGUGAUCUGGCUGCGACAUCUGUCACUGCACUGAUUCCCAGGGUUGAUUUUGCUGAUCUGGCUGGCUGGCUGGGUGUCCCCUUUCUCCUUCACCAUCCCAUUUGCAUCCCUCCUGAAGCGGCACGGUUGGUAAAAGAGGAUGACCUUCUUCAGUAUAGAAGGUCCAUUCUUUGGUCAAGGGUAUAUAAGUAGCCGUGCUCCCCUUCUAGAACCUCCAAAAAACCUCUCAAGGUUCAUUUGUAGGAGAACAUAGGCUAGUUCUUAUAGCACAUCCAAAUGAGGCACUGCCUUUGGCACUCUGCCUUUCAAA
Molecule: non-coding RNA, 319 nt
Organism: Canis lupus familiaris (dog)
Lineage: Eukaryota; Metazoa; Chordata; Mammalia; Carnivora; Canidae
Source: Rfam